This 486-nucleotide ribosomal RNA is filed under the name uncultured bacterium. RNAcentral's name for it is "partial 16S ribosomal RNA". It matches the Rfam family "Bacterial small subunit ribosomal RNA", at positions 28 to 507 of the family's 1533-position model. The record is from RNAcentral.
GACGAACGCUGGCGGCGUGCUUAACACAUGCAAGUCGAACGCUGAAGACCUGGCUUUUGUUGGGUUGGAUGAGUGGCGAACGGGUGAGUAACACGUGAGUAACCUGCCCUCUUCUUUGGGAUAACGCCCGGAAACGGGUGCUAAUACUGGAUAUUCACUGAUCUUCGCAUGGGGGUUGGUGGAAAGGUUUGUUCUGGUGGGGGAUGGGCUCGCGGCCUAUCAGCUUGUUGGUGGGGUGAUGGCCUACCAAGGCUUUGACGGGUAGCCGGCCUGAGAGGGUGACCGGUCACAUUGGGACUGAGAUAAGGCCCAGACUCCUACGGGAGGCGGAAGUGGGGAAUAUUGCACAAUGGGCGAAAGCCUGAUGCAGCGACGCCGCGUGAGGGAUGGAGGCCUUCGGGUUGUAAACCUCUUUCGCUCAUGGUCAAGCCGCAACUGUGGGUUGUGGUGAGGGUAGUGGGUAAAGAAGCGCCGGCUAACUACGUG